Molecule: ribosomal RNA, 630 nt
Filed under: uncultured Thermoprotei archaeon
Lineage: Archaea; Thermoproteati; Thermoproteota; Thermoprotei
Description: bacterial SSU rRNA
Rfam family: Archaeal small subunit ribosomal RNA
Source: RNAcentral
ACCGGUUGAUCCUGCCGGACCCUACUGCUAUCGGGAUGGGACUAAGACAUGCUAGUCGUGCGCUUCUAAGCCAUGGUGGAGGCGCGGCGCACAGCUCAGUAACACGUGGUUAACCUGCCCUUGGGACGGAAACACCCCCGGGAAACUGGGGCUAAUUUCCGAUAGGUGAAGACUCCUGGAAUGGAUCUUCGCCUAAAGGGCGCUUAGGCCAUGCUUCUAGGCGCUGCCCAAGGAUGGGACCGCGGCCGAUCAGGUUGUUGGUGAGGUAAUGGCUCACCAAGCCUUUAACCGGUUCGGGCCGUGGGAGCGGGAGCCCGGAGAUGGGCACUGAGACAAGGGCCCAGGUCCUACGGGGCGCAGCAGUCGCGAAAACUCCGCAAUACGCGAAGGCGUGACGGGGCUAUCCCGAGUGCCGUCCGCUGAGGAUGGCUUUUCCCCAGUGUAGAUAGCUGGGGGAAUAAGGAGAGGGCAAGUCUGGUGUCAGCCGCCGCGGUAAUACCAGCUCUCCGAGUGGUGGGGACGUUUAUUGGGCCUGAAGCAUCCGUAGCCAGCUGAGCAAGUCCCCAGUUAAAUCCAGCGAUUUAAUCGUUGGACUGCUGGGGAUACUGUCCGGCUUGGGGGUGGGAGAGG